UCUCUCCCCACCACUUGCUUCCCUGGUAGUUCCUGUCUGUGGCUCCAGCCCUCCACCCGGGCCCUCCGCCAGGCUGAAGCAGGCACAAUUGGGUUAUGUAAGCCAUGGCACCCAAACAAGGCCACCAUUAUGUUGCCUGGCCUCCCCUCAGAUUUUCUCUGGUUCCUGGCUGUGUGCAUACUUGGCUGGAGUCUAGGAGAGAGAAAUUCCUGAGAAGGCUCUGGGCCCGAAGGCUGCCUCCCCCUGAUUUGAACGCCAGGGCGGAAGGGCGAGAAAGGCUCUGGGGUAAGUCGAAGACUGUGGUGGAGAGACGCAGGGUAAACACGGGGGCAGUAAUGGCCAGUGGUGGGUUCUCCCGGGAGCGGCCGCUGCAGGCGCUGAGAACAGUAUUGCCGAUCCUCUCGGUGAUGCUUCUGAAACCCAAACUCAAUCAGGCAUCUUCACUCUGAAUCCUACAGUGGCUUCCAGGGCUUAAUGAGAGAAGAGCAGGGUGAAGCAAGGGCUCUGCCCCGCGUGGCCCUGGCUUCCGCCCUGCGUGGCCCGGCUUUCUGGCCCGCGUGGUCCUGGCUUUCCAUCCUGCGUGGCCCGGCUUUCUGGCCCGCGUGGUCCUGGCUUUCCAUCCUGCGUGGCCCUGGCUUCCACCCUCUGCACUUACAAAAGGCAUUUCAUUUUCCACUGUUGUUUUUCCAAGACAAGAGUCAAGAUGUCGGGGCUGGAGAGAUGGCCCAGUGGUUAAAAGCACUGGCUGCUCUUCCAGAGGACCCAGGUUCAAUUCCCAGCACCCACAUGGCAUGGCAUAAUUGCAUGUGACGCCAGUUUCAAGUGGAUCUGAGACCUUCACGCAGACACACAUUCAGGAAAAACAUGAAUGCACAUGAAAUAAAAAAUUAAAAAAAAAAAAAGAGUCAAGAUGAAGCUCAGGCUGGCCUCAAACUUAGAGCCCUCCUGCUUUAGUCUCCUGAGUGCUGGUGUACACUGCCAUGUUCACCUAAACAACAACAGCCACAACAAACAAAGAAAAAAAAAAAAACCCCACAAAACCCAGACCCUGAUGGCUGCACAAAAACAGAGCAAAAAGCCCAGCCAGAGCAAAGCAAACAAAGAUACUUCUCUGUGAGCUCUGGUCUCUGUUUAUGGACAUUUGUUGUUGUUGUUGUUGUUGUUGUUGUUGUUGUUGUUGGGACAAAGAUCCAGGAUAGUCCCAUCCUUAGCAGAUCAUAUAUAACAUACAACUAGUAGAUAGUGAAAAGUUCAGGACUGGGGUGGGGGGCAGAAUGGAUUAGAGAGAGGCUUCCCAAUCAAGCCCUCGUUUUUUUAUAGCUCCACUAGGCAGUGAUGACGUCACCCCUCGGCUUUCUCAGAUCCUCUGGCUCUGCCCGAGUAGAAACCCUUGGUAGGCAAGCAGUCCUUCCAGUGCUGGCCUUCAGCCGCCUGGGGGAGGGGGGGGGCUCCUCCGCCUUAGACAGCAGAGAAGCCAGCAGAGAAGCCGAGGUGGCAGCAAUUGGGAAAAGCAGCAGGUGGAACCUUCUAGACGCCAGGACAGGGCCUCUACAGGUGCUACAGCCCUUGUGCUGACCCAGGAAAUAUGGGUUCCUUAGCCUUUGGCAGCAGCAGCAGCGGCCAGCACCACACCUUCCUGGCAGGGACAGCAAGCAGCGUGAACUUCAUGUUUGAGCGACUUCCACUGGGAACCCACGCCUGAUGCGGUGGCAGCCUGGGGGUGCUGUGGUGUAGGCAUGGGUUGCAUCACCACAGAAGAAACCCUCAUUUAAGGAACUUAGAUCUUUUAGAAGUAGCAGUAAGCACGUGACCCUGGAGGGAGACAUUCUCCUUCUGAAAUGCCCCGCAAACACGCUGUGCACUGUAGCAGCAGCAUCAGUGAAAGGGAGCCAGAAACCACUAGCCAUGCGUGUGUGGAGAACGCGUGCACAGUGCAAAACGCACCCAGUGCUGCCCGUCUUUGGCUAGCCUAUCCUCCUCAUCCUCCUCAAUUCUGUGGGCUCCUUGUCUUCAGGAAAGGCAGAAGCUGGAGGGAGGGUGGCACUCGCUGGGCCUGACUGCCUACUCUGUGUCGCUCUCCCCAGUCCCUGGCCUGGUUAUAACUGCAGUAUGUGUCUGGGGUUUUAUGAUGUCCAAGUCCCGAGCUAGACUGUGAAGGACAUGGCCACUCACCCUCCUAUGUUCCUACCUGAGUG
Peromyscus maniculatus bairdii (prairie deer mouse) is the source of this 2195-nucleotide non-coding RNA. The record is from RefSeq and is a predicted model, not a curated record. Lineage: Eukaryota; Metazoa; Chordata; Mammalia; Rodentia; Cricetidae.